RNAcentral lists this ribosomal RNA (1132 nucleotides) under uncultured archaeon. Its description in RNAcentral is "bacterial SSU rRNA". It matches the Rfam family "Archaeal small subunit ribosomal RNA", at positions 1 to 1181 of the family's 1478-position model. The record is from RNAcentral.
UUCCGGUUGAUCCUGCCGGAGACUACCGCUAUCGGAGUCCGAUUUAGCCAUGCUAGUCCACCGAGUCCUUGACUUGGGGCAUAUAGCUGAGUAGCACGUGGCUAACCUGCCCUGUGGAUGGGUAUAACCUCGCUAACGUGAGGCUAAUACCCAAUAUCAGAUGAGGAUGGAAGCAAUCUUCAUCUGUGAAACGUUCCGACGCCACAGGAUGGGGCCGCGGCUGAUUAGGUUGUUGGUGAGGUAACGGCUCACCAAGCCGAUAAUCAGUAGCAGGGGUGAGAGCCCGAGCUGUCAGUCGGCAUCUGAGACAAGAUGCCGGACCCUACGGGGUGCAGCAGGCACGAAACCUUCACAAUGCACGCAGGUGCGAUGGGGGGACUCCGAGUGCAGUCUUCCAAAACGGAAGGCCGCUUUUCUGCACUUUAAGCAGGUGCCGAAACAAGGGGUGGGCAAGACGGCUGCCAGCCGCCGCGGUAAUAGCCGCACCCCGAGUGGUAGUCAUUGUUAUUGGGCUUAAAGUGUUCGUAGCCGGACACACAAGUCUGCUGUGAAAUCCAUGCGCUUAACGUAUGGACAUGCAGCGGAUACUGUGUGUCUAGGAACCGGACGGCGUCGAGGCUAUUCCCGGGGUAGGGGCGAAAUCCUAAAAUCCUGGGAGGAGCACCUGUGGCGAAAGCGCUCGACGAGUACGGAUUCGACGGUGAGGAACGAAAGCCAGUGGAGCAAAGCGGAUUAGAUACCCGCGUAGUACUGGCUGUAAACAUUGUGCGUUUGAUGUCGGACAACCUCCGAGGUUGUCCGGUGCCGAAGUGAAAACGUUAAACGCACCGCCUGGGGAGUACGGUCGCAAGGCUGAAACUUAAAGGAAUUGACGGGGGAGCACCACAACCGGUGGAGGCUGCGGUUUAAUUAGAUCAAACGCAGAGCACUCUACCAGAGCCGACAGCAGAAUGAAGGUCAGCUUGAAGAGCUUACCUGACGCGCUGAGAGGAGCUGCAUGGCCGCCGUCAGCUCGUGCCGUGAGGUGUCCGGUUAAGUCCGGUAACGAGCGAGACCCGCACCAGAUAAGCCAGACGAAGGUGCGGGCCACGGUAGGUCAGUAUGGCCCGAAUGCUCUGGGAUACACGCGGCC